CAGUCGCCGCGGGAAUACGAAGGGGGCUAGCGUUGCUCGGAAUGACUGGGCGUAAAGGGCGCGUAGGCGGUUUGUACAGUUGGAUGUGAAAUUCCUGGACUUAACCUGGGGGCUGCAUUCAAUACGUGCAGGCUUGAGUGGGGAAGAGGGUCGUGGAAUUCCCAGUGUAGAGGUGAAAUUCGUAGAUAUUGGGAAGAACACCGGUGGCGAAGGCGGCGACCUGGUCCAUAACUGACGCUGAGGCGCGAAAGCGUGGGGAGCAAACAGGAUUAGAUACCCCGGUAGUCCCUGUCUCUUAUAA
RNAcentral lists this ribosomal RNA (301 nucleotides) under uncultured bacterium. RNAcentral describes it as "partial 16S ribosomal RNA". It matches the Rfam family "Bacterial small subunit ribosomal RNA", at positions 509 to 809 of the family's 1533-position model. The record is from RNAcentral.